UCAAAUAAUCCAAGGUUUACGGUGAAUACCUAGGCAUUCAGAGACGAAGAAGGGCGUGGCAACCGACGAAACACUUCGAGGAGCUGGAAACAAGCAUUGAAUCGGAGAUCCCCGAAUAGGGCAACCUGUAACGAACUACUUAUUGAAUUCAUAGAUAAGAAAGAGACAACCCGGUGAAUUGAAACAUCUUAGUAGCCGGAGGAAUAGAAAGCAAAAGCGAUUCCCAUAGUAGCGGCGAGCGAAGUGGGAACAGCCUAAACCAAGUAAGCUUUUUGCUUAAUUGGGGUCGUGGGAGGAUAUAGUAGACGAAGCAGUUGAUUCCUGCACCAUAGAUGGUGAUAGUCCAGUAGUCAAAACUAUCUUAUCCCAAGUAACAUGGGGCACGUGAAAUCCCGUGUGAAUCAACGAGGACCACCUCGUAAGGCUAAAUACUCCUGAAUGACCGAUAGCGAAACAGUACCGCGAGGGAAAGGUGAAAAAGAACCCCUUACGGGGAGUGAAAGAGCACAUGAAACCGUAAUCUGACAAGCUGUGGGAGAAGUAAUAACUUUGACCGCGUGCCUGUGGAAGAAUGAGCCGGCGACUUAUAGGAAGUGGCUUGGUUAAGGAAACAAAUCCGAAGCCAAAGCGAAAGCAAGUUUGAAAAGAGCGUUUUUGUCACUUCUUAUGGACCCGAACCCGGGUGAUCUAACCAUGACCAGGAUGAAAGUUGGGUAACACCAAGUGGAGGUCCGAACUCAUCGAUGUUGAAAAAUCGUGGGAUGAGUUGUGGUUAGGGGUGAAAUGCCAAUCGAACUCGGAGCUAGCUGGUUCUCCCCGAAAUGUGUUGAGGCGCAGCGAUUGACGAAAUGUAGUACGGCUUAGGGGUAAAGCACUGUUUCGGUGCGGGCUGCGAAAGCGGUACCAAAUCGUGGCAAACUAAGAAUACUAAGCUUGUAUCCCGUCAAUCAGUGAGACAGUGGGGGAUAAGCUCCAUUGUCAAGAGGGAAACAGCCCAGAUCACCAGUUAAGGCCCCAAAAUGACAGCUAAGUGGCAAAGGAGGUGAGAGUGCAUAAACAACCAGGAGGUGUGCUUAGAAGCAGCCACCCUUUAAAGAGUGCGUAAUAGCUCACUGGUGGAGCGCUCUCGCGCCGAAAAUGUAUGGGACUAAGUUGUCUGCCGAAACUGUGGGAUAUUAUAUUUUGUGAAUAUACAAAAAGUAAUAUCGGUAGGGGAGCGUUCUGCUAUAGAUUGAAGCACAUAUGUAAAUCGGUGUGGACGAAGCAGAAGUGAGAAUGUCGGCUUGAGUAACGAAAACAUUGGUGAGAAUCCAAUGCCCCGAAAACCUAAGGUUUCCUUCACUAGGUUCGUCCAUGGAGGGUGAGUCAGAUCCUAAGGCUAGGCCGAAAGGCGUCGUCGAUGGAAAACAGGUCAACAUUCCUGUACUAAUAUAUACACUUGAACCGAGUGACGAAGGAGGCAAUCAUACACCAAAAUUGGAUUUGGUGAGAAACGUUCAAGAUGAUGAGAGACAGAAGAAAAACUGUUCUUGAGUUGAGUCGUAGUAUGUCUUUAUCUUUUAUAUUACUCUAGUAGUAUAGGAGUAAGGGUUAUGGCCACUGUCAUACUUCCAAGAAAAACUCGAACUUCAAAAAAUGGUGUAUAUAUUAUCUGUACCUGAAUCCGACACAGGUAGGUAGGUAGAGUAUACCUAGGGGCGCGAGAUAACUCUUUCUAAGGAACUCGGCAAAAUGGCCCCGUAACUUCGGGAGAAGGGGUGCCUCCGAAAGGAGGUCGCAGUGAGCAGGCCCAGGCGACUGUUUACCAAAAACACAGGUCUCCGCUAAGUCGUAAGACAAUGUAUGGGGGCUGACGCCUGCCCGGUGCUGGAAGGUGAAGGAAGUUGGUUAUGGAUCCUCGAGAUCCAGAAGCUGACGACCGAAGCCCCAGUGAACGGCGGCCGUAACUAUGACGGUCCUAAGGUAGCGAAAUUCCUUGUCUGGUAAAAACGAACUUGCCAGAAAAGCUUUAACGAUCUGGGUACUGUCUCGGAGAGAGACUCGGUGAAAUAGAAGUGUCCGUGAAGAUGCGGACUACUUACACCUGGACAGAAAGACCCUAUGAAGCUUUACUGUAGCCUGACAUUGGGUUUGGGUUCCUCUUGCGCAGUCUAGGUGGGAGGCUUUGAUAUUUUCCUUGCGGGGAAAGUGGAGCCGCUUUUGAGAGACCACUCUGGAAGAGCUAAAAUUCUAAUAGUAAUCCUUGAAUCAGGACACUUGACAGUGUCAGGCGGGCAGUUUGACUGGGGCGGUCACCUCCCAAAAAGUAACGGAGGUGUGCAAAGGUUCCCUCAAGCUGGACGGAAAUCAGCUGGAGAGUGUAAAGGCAUAAGGGAGCUUGACUGCAAGACCUACAAGUCGAGCAGGGGCGAAAGCCGGCCUUAGUGAUCCGACGGUACCGCGUGGAAGGGCCGUCGCUCAACGGAUAAAAGUUACUCUAGGGAUAACAGGCUGAUCUUCCCCAAGAGUCCACAUCGACGGGAAGGUUUGGCACCUCGAUGUCGGCUCAUCGCAACCUGGGGCGGUAGUACGUCCCAAGGGUUGGGCUGUUCGCCCAUGAAAGCGGUACGUGAGCUGGGUUCAGAACGUGUGAGACAGUUCGGUCCAUAUCCGGUGUAAGCGUUAGAGUAUUGAGAGGAGCCUUCCAUAGUACGAGAGGACCUGGAAGGACGCACCUCUGGUGUACCAGUUCUCCUGCCAAGGGGAUACGCUGGGUAGCCAUGUGCGGAGUGGAUAACUGCUGAAAGCAUCUAAGUAGGAAGCCCACCUCAAGAUGAGUACUCUCGGAAAGUUUUGUACUUUCGAUAGACCACAGCAAGACAAGCUGUUUGAUAGGUAUCAAGUGUAAGGUCAGUAAUGGCUUGAGCUGAGAUAUACUAAUAGGUCGACUGAGUUUGA
This 2937-nucleotide ribosomal RNA is filed under the name Massjukichlorella minus. RNAcentral describes it as "large subunit ribosomal RNA". It matches the Rfam family "Bacterial large subunit ribosomal RNA". Lineage: Eukaryota; Viridiplantae; Chlorophyta; Trebouxiophyceae; Watanabeales; Watanabeaceae. The record is from RNAcentral.